UACGAAGGGGGCUAGCGUUGUUCGGAAUCACUGGGCGUAAAGCGCACGUAGGCGGAUCUUUAAGUCAGAGGUGAAAUCCCAAGGCUCAACCUUGGAACUGCCUUUGAUACUGGGGAUCUUGAGUCCGGGAGAGGUGAGUGGAACUGCGAGUGUAGAGGUGAAAUUCGUAGAUAUUCGCAAGAACACCAGUGGCGAAGGCGGCUCACUGGCCCGGUACUGACGCUGAGGUGCGAAAGGCGUGGGGAGCAAA
This 250-nucleotide ribosomal RNA is filed under the name uncultured bacterium. Its description in RNAcentral is "partial 16S ribosomal RNA". It matches the Rfam family "Bacterial small subunit ribosomal RNA", at positions 524 to 772 of the family's 1533-position model. The record is from RNAcentral.